UGGGUUCUGGCCGCUGGUGUUGUCUAAGAGCUUUGGGGAAUAUCACAGAAGUGAAGUGCAAUUCUCAUCAUGUCAUAUCAAGAGCACACACUAACAAACAACAUGACUUAUUGCUGAAUAUUGAACUUGAUCACCUGGCUGAGGUGAAUAAACUGACACUGGAACAUUCAGGAACUUCUUCAUGGUCAUGGUCACCCAGCUAGAGUGUGGAAGCCAGGCUGUCUGAUUCCAGGAUCUGUGUUCUUAAUCCUAUACAUAAGGAAGCCAUAAUGAGUCAACCACUAUUUUUAAGAUUCACAGAUGUUCGGGUCCAAUUCACCAGAAUGCCAAGUUAUACAGGGUUGUGGAAUCAAAAACUGCAAUUA
This 365-nucleotide long non-coding RNA is filed under the name Homo sapiens (human). Its description in RNAcentral is "non-protein coding lnc-NRG1-2:8". Lineage: Eukaryota; Metazoa; Chordata; Mammalia; Primates; Hominidae. The record is from RNAcentral.